UACGAAGGGAGCUAGCGUUGUUCGGAAUCACUGGGCGUAAAGCGCACGUAGGCGGAUUGGCAAGUUGGGGGUGAAAUCCCAGGGCUCAACCCUGGAACUGCCUUCAAAACUCCCAGUCUGGAGGUCGAGAGAGGUGAGUGGAAUUCCGAGUGUAGAGGUGAAAUUCGUAGAUAUUCGGAGGAACACCAGUGGCGAAGGCGGCUCACUGGCUCGAUACUGACGCUGAGGUGCGAAAGCGUGGGGAGCAAACAGG
Molecule: ribosomal RNA, 253 nt
Filed under: uncultured bacterium
Lineage: Bacteria
Description: partial 16S ribosomal RNA
Rfam family: Bacterial small subunit ribosomal RNA
Source: RNAcentral